CAUUGAGUAGCUGGUCUCAUGGACUAGAUAAUUUACAAAAGUUUCUAGAUCACAUUAAUAGUUUGCAUCCUUCUAUCAAGUUUACUUUUGAAGGACAGAAGGAUGAUAAAACUAUACCUUUCUUAGAUGUUCUGUUAUCUAUACAAGAAGAUGGGUCGCUAGGACAUAAGGUUUAUAGGAAACCUACACACAGAGUCAGGUAUCUGCAUUAUAAUUCAUUUCAUCCUAGUAUUAAAAACUCAUCAACCGAGCGAAAACACAAUUUGUAAAGUAACAUCGACGAUGAAUUAGAACAUUUAAGAAAUGUUCUAAAAAUGAAUUGUUAUCCCGGCAUUUCAUAGAUAAUGCUAUGAAAACACCACAAAGUAUACAGUAGAAUAUUGGCUCUCCUCCGCAGAGGUUAUUUAUUCUAUUUAUAAUGUUCUUCGGCUCUCUUCGGAUAAUUCUCGGAGUUAAUCGCGAUUGGGUGCUG
Paramuricea clavata is the source of this 472-nucleotide non-coding RNA. Lineage: Eukaryota; Metazoa; Cnidaria; Anthozoa; Malacalcyonacea; Plexauridae. The record is from the annotation of a GenBank genome assembly.